GUAGCGCGGUGGUCCCACCUGACCCCAUGCCGAACUCAGAAGUGAAACGCCGUAGCGCCGAUGGUAGUGUGGGGUCUCCCCAUGCGAGAGUAGGGAACUGCCA
Molecule: ribosomal RNA, 103 nt
Filed under: Escherichia coli
Lineage: Bacteria; Pseudomonadati; Pseudomonadota; Gammaproteobacteria; Enterobacterales; Enterobacteriaceae
Source: RNAcentral